UACGGAGGGUGCAAGCGUUAUCCGGAUUCACUGGGUUUAAAGGGCGCGUAGGCGGUCUUGUCAGUCCCUUGUGAAAUCCCCCGGCUCAACUGGGGAACUGCACGGGAAACAGCAGGGCUUGAGUUCGGGAGAGGGAAGCGGAAUUCCGGGUGUAGCGGUGAAAUGCGUAGAUAUCCGGAGGAACACCGGUGGCGAAGGCGGCUUCCUGGACCGAUACUGACGCUGAGGCGCGAAAGCUAGGGGAGCGAACGGG
This 253-nucleotide ribosomal RNA is filed under the name uncultured bacterium. RNAcentral describes it as "partial 16S ribosomal RNA". It matches the Rfam family "Bacterial small subunit ribosomal RNA", at positions 524 to 776 of the family's 1533-position model. The record is from RNAcentral.